CUCCUACCGAUUGAAUGGUCCGGUGAAGUUUUCGGAUUGCGGCGACGCCGAGCGGUUCGCCGCCGAGUGACGUUGUGAGAAGUUCAUUAAACCUUAUCAUUUAGAGGAAGGAGAAGCCGUAACAAGGUU
This 129-nucleotide ribosomal RNA is filed under the name uncultured eukaryote. Its description in RNAcentral is "partial 18S ribosomal RNA". It matches the Rfam family "Eukaryotic small subunit ribosomal RNA", at positions 1679 to 1801 of the family's 1831-position model. The record is from RNAcentral.